Molecule: ribosomal RNA, 430 nt
Filed under: Verrucomicrobiota bacterium
Lineage: Bacteria; Pseudomonadati; Verrucomicrobiota
Description: Verrucomicrobia bacterium partial 16S ribosomal RNA
Rfam family: Bacterial small subunit ribosomal RNA
Source: RNAcentral
UAGGGAAUCUUCGGCAAUGGGGGGAACCCUGACCGAGCAACGCCGCGUGAGUGAAGAAGGUUUUCGGAUCGUAAAGCUCUGUUGUUAAGGAAGAACGAGUGUGAGAAUGGAAAGUUCAUGCUGUGACGGUACUUAACCAGAAAGGGACGGCUAACUACGUGCCAGCAGCCGCGGUAAUACGAAGGGGGCUAGCGUUGUUCGGAUUUACUGGGCGUAAAGCGCACGUAGGCGGACUUUUAAGUCAGGGGUGAAAUCCCGGGGCUCAACCCCGGAACUGCCUUUGAUACUGGAAGUCUUGAGUAUGGUAGAGGUGAGUGGAAUUCCGAGUGUAGAGGUGAAAUUCGUAGAUAUUCGGAGGAACACCAGUGGCGAAGGCGGCUCACUGGACCAUUACUGACGCUGAGGUGCGAAAGCGUGGGGAGCAAACAGG